This is a long non-coding RNA of Xenopus laevis (African clawed frog), 177 nucleotides long. RefSeq lists it as uncharacterized. The record is from RefSeq and is a predicted model, not a curated record. The transcript is spliced from 3 exons. NCBI's taxonomy places the organism in Eukaryota, Metazoa, Chordata, Amphibia, Anura, Pipidae.
GUGCAAGAUGGUGGGUGGGGAGAGCAGGAACAAGAGCUGAACCCGGACCCGCCUGACACCCGCAACCGGAGCUCAGAGAAAAUGACAGCAAUGUGAAGAAACACUGUUGCUUUGUCAGGAUUCGGUGAGGGCUGCGUGCCCUCUCCUUUUCAUAUCCCGGUGCGUGGUUGCUAGGAU